AUCACUAGCACCUCGGGUUAGCUCUUUGACAACUGAAAAAUAAAAAGAAACCUCAACGGAUUACAUCUUGUUCCACCCAGUAUAAGCCAACUGAAGAAGCUCCCAUAAACCUUGGGCUGGAGGCCUUCCAGAAGUGUAUCCACCUUGCUGAGCCAUGACUCCACUCCUCCACUCCCCUGGCCGGGCCCGUCAUUCUGGGUAGGCGGAGUUAUCUUAUGAUGGGGGCUGCUUGGAGUGUGCGCUGAGAGUAAGCUCUACCAGAAAUGCCUAAGGGUAAUCCCCGGAGAUUCGUUUUACAACAGAAUAGACAUUCCAUAAGGAUGAAUCAGAUGCUAAACGACAGUACAACAUUGCAGAUUAUUCCAGGGACUCCUUUUUUAUCUCUGUGUUU
Long non-coding RNA from Ailuropoda melanoleuca (giant panda), 391 nucleotides. RefSeq lists it as uncharacterized. The record is from RefSeq and is a predicted model, not a curated record. NCBI's taxonomy places the organism in Eukaryota, Metazoa, Chordata, Mammalia, Carnivora, Ursidae. The transcript is spliced from 5 exons.